RNAcentral lists this long non-coding RNA (1388 nucleotides) under Vulpes vulpes (red fox). RNAcentral's name for it is "lncRNA (ENSVVUG00000030053.1)". Lineage: Eukaryota; Metazoa; Chordata; Mammalia; Carnivora; Canidae. The record is from RNAcentral.
AAUAAAUUGCUAAAUUCUAUAAUAAUUUCUGUUAUAUCAGCUCAUCAUCUUUUCUCUUUUUCUUUUGCUGUCCCCCAACUAUUCCUCUUUCUGGUCAGUGUGUGCCCUGAUUUCUUUCCGAAGAAUGACCUCUCUCCAGUCUGCAGGGACUGUGAAUAAGGGUCUCUGAACUUCCUUAGCCUAUAUAUAUUUUUCCUUUUUUUUGAGGGAGUACUCUGAAUCUAGAACUGAGUGUUACAAAGAUGUAAAAGACAGUUGGAGUUCAUUCCUGUGUAGUACCCUAAAGAGACUGUCAAGGUGUCCUGCAGCCUCCAUGCCCAAAGCUGGAUGGUUACUGACUGAAUGCUAAGCUGACUCCAAGCUUGGGCUCAAAGUCUCUUUGCCCUUUUGAGUUCUUUAAGACUGGUCCAGUAAAUUCUCUUUCUAAUUUAACCAGAAUGGGUUUCUGAUACUUAAAACCAUGGAAGCCUAACAAACAGAGACAGAAUUUUUGUGGGGAGUUCCAGAACUCCGGUAAUCACCAGACUCCCAGUGUCCUAGUGAAUGAACUAUGGAGAGGAUGGAGGGAUACUUUCAGGAUUCUGGUGUCACACAUUCUACAUGAAAAGUCAUGGUAAAUGAGCAAGCAAUGCGUAUACACUUACUGCCAUUCCUUUAAAAUACUGUGUGGAAAGGAUACUAAGAGGCUGCUCGUGAAGAAUGUUUAUUUCAAAAAGUGAAUUAUGUGAAACCAUUAUAAUUCAAUUCAAGGACUGUCAGAUUGAAACUUAGAUCUUGAGUACCAGAAGGAGUUUCAAAGAUACAUUUGUGAAAUACUCAGAAAUAUUAGAUGCGGGACAUCUCUGAGUGGUUGUAUAUUGCACUCCACUUUGCAAAUGAAAUAAAACACUGGAAGAAGACAUACAUAAGAGAAAAAGCAUUGCUCUCAGCUUUUACGCCGUUUCCUAGUUUAUUUGGGACUCUGUCCUCUACCCAGACAUCGGUCAUUUGAGAUCCGUGCCAGGCAAGAUUGAUACAACAGAAAGAUAUUGAAUUCCAACAGUUUUUAAAAAAGUCAUUAAGAAAUUGGAACCCAGGAAUCAAAGUGUCAAUAAUAGAAGACUACCAAUAAUACAAAGACUCAUGGAAACCAAAAGCCAAAGGAGAACUGUGAGUGUGCAUUUUUCUCUCUUGUGCCAUUUGCGACUCUUUUGACUUUAAGUGCCAUGUGUAUAUUUUAGGGGGUUUGCUAGGACUAAGAUUGGACUAGCUUUUCCUUCUCAGAGUGCUCAGAUCCAAGUGACACUGAAGGAAAAAUCAUGAGGAAGUUUGGAGCCAGCUCCUGGUGCUUGAGCAUAAAGUCAAAAAGAAACUAUAAUUCAGUUACACUGUUAAGUGUGAUGAUAUAG